This 468-nucleotide ribosomal RNA is filed under the name uncultured bacterium. Its description in RNAcentral is "partial 16S ribosomal RNA". It matches the Rfam family "Bacterial small subunit ribosomal RNA", at positions 28 to 507 of the family's 1533-position model. The record is from RNAcentral.
GACGAACGCUGGCGGCGGGCUUAACACAUGCAAGUCGAACGGAAAGGCCCUGCUUUUGUGGGGUGCUCGAGUGGCGAACGGGUGAGUAACACGUGAGUAACCUGCCCUUGACUUUGGGAUAACUUCAGGAAACUGGGGCUAAUACCGGAUAGGAGCUCCUGCUGCAUGGUGGGGGUUGGAAAGUUUCGGCGGUUGGGGAUGGACUCGCGGCUUAUCAGCUUGUUGGUGGGGUAGUGGCUUACCAAGGCUUUGACGGGUAGCCGGCCUGAGAGGGUGAACGGCCACCUUGGGCCUGAGAUACGGCCCAGACUCCUACGGGAGGCAGCAGUGGGGAAUAUUGCACAAUGGGCGGACGCCUGAUGCAGCAACGCCGCGUGCGGGAUGACGGCCUUCGGGUUGUAAACCGCUUUCGCCUGUGACGAAGCGUGAGUGACGGUAAUGGGUAAAGAAGCACCGGCUAACUACGUG